AAUCCAUGCAACGGACAUUUCCAAAUUAAAUCUUUAAAUCGUUCCUAAGCUUCAUAUAGCAUUUCAUCCUCAAAUUUUUGAAGAGAUGUGAUGUCAUUUCUAAGCUU
Gossypium arboreum is the source of this 107-nucleotide non-coding RNA. Lineage: Eukaryota; Viridiplantae; Streptophyta; Magnoliopsida; Malvales; Malvaceae. The record is from Rfam.